AGUUUGAUCAUGGCUCAGGAUGAACGCUAGCGGGAGGCUUAACACAUGCAAGUCGAGGGGCAGCACGAUGUAGCAAUACGUUGGUGGCGACCGGCGCACGGGUGAGUAACGCGUAUGUAACCUGCCCUUUACCGGAGGAUAACCCGGAGAAAUUCGGACUAAUAUUCCAUAAAGAUACUUAGAGGCAUCUUUGAGUAUUUAAAGCUACGGUGGUAAAGGAGGGGCAUGCGUAACAUUAGCUAGUUGGGAGGGUAACGUCCUGCCAAGGCAAUGAUGUUUAGGGGACCUGAGAGGGUGAUCCCCCACACUGGUACUGAGACACGGACCAGACUCCUACGGGAGGCAGCAGUGAGGAAUAUUGGUCAAUGGGCGACAGCCUGAACCAGCCAUCCCGCGUGAAGGAAGAAAGCGCUAUGCGUUGUAAACUUCUUUUCCAGAGGGAUAAAAUGAUGUACGCGUACAUUACUGAAGGUACUCUGGGAAUAAGCAUCGGCUAACUCCGUGCCAGCAGCCGCGGUAAUACGGAGGAUGCGAGCGUUAUCCGGAUUUAUUGGGUUUAAAGGGUGCGUAGGCGGGACAAUAAGUCAGUGGUGAAAACCUGCAGCUUAACUGUAGACUUGCCGUUGAUACUGUUGUUCUUGAGUAUGGUCAAGGCAGGCGGAAUGUGUAAUGUAGCGGUGAAAUGCUUAGAUAUUACACAGAACACCGAUAGCGAAGGCAGCUUGCUGGGCCGUUACUGACGCUGAUGCACGAAAGCGUGGGGAUCGAACAGGAUUAGAUACCCUGGUAGUCCACGCCGUANACGAUGAUCACUAGCUGUUGGCGAUAUACCGUCAGUGGCAAAGCANAAGCAUUAAGUGAUCCACCUGGGGANUACGGCCGCAAGGCUGAAACUCAAAGGAAUUGACGGGGGCCCGCACAAGCGGAGGAACAUGUGGUUUAAUUCNAUGAUACNCGAGGAACCUUACCUGGGCUUAAAUGUANANUGCAUUGAGGGGAAACUUUCAUUUUNUUC
Molecule: ribosomal RNA, 1015 nt
Filed under: uncultured bacterium
Lineage: Bacteria
Description: bacterial SSU rRNA
Rfam family: Bacterial small subunit ribosomal RNA
Source: RNAcentral